Molecule: long non-coding RNA, 561 nt
Organism: Carassius carassius (crucian carp)
Lineage: Eukaryota; Metazoa; Chordata; Actinopteri; Cypriniformes; Cyprinidae
Exons: 3
Source: RefSeq, a predicted model, not a curated record
ACCAAUACAUUUGUGUUUAAAAAAAUAUAUAAAACAUGAAAGCAACUUCCUAAUAUUUAUUCUUUUUAUAUUGCCUUAGGAUAGAUCCACAGCCCGACCACAGCGAUAACAAAUACAUUGUUUUUGAAAGCUGUCUUCGAGAGCUGUUUGUGUCCUGUCCAAUUUGAAAGACAAAGUGUGUUGUCCAGAGCAGACGAAGGGGGACUUUUGUUGCAUUCACCCAGCUUUGUGAAAAGUGUAACUACUACAGACAGUGGCAGAGCCAGCCCAUUGUAGGGAGUACCCCACUUGGAAACCUGCUAUUGUCUGCUGCAACGUAUUUUACCGGUGGAUCUUUUAAACAACUAGAGAAGGAUUCAUGCCAGGAAUUUCAUUGAGCCUACCAUAAUACACAAGUGGAACCAAGAUCAACUGAAUCUUAUAAGACAGCUGCAAGAGGGAGGAAAUGUUGCUGUGGCUGGAGAUAUGCGUGCUGACACGCCAGGACACUCAGCAAAAUUUGGCAGCUACACCAUUAUGCAAAUGGAAACCAACAAAAUUCUGGAUCUUCAACUAGUUCAG